AGGUCCGGAAUCAAGUCCAUUAAACUCAAUAGGAGUCUUUCCAUUGACUUCAGUGGGCUUUGGGUCAGGCUCAUAA
Molecule: microRNA precursor, 76 nt
Filed under: Pelodiscus sinensis (Chinese soft-shelled turtle)
Lineage: Eukaryota; Metazoa; Chordata; Testudines; Trionychidae
Description: miRNA (ENSPSIG00000019566.1)
Source: RNAcentral